This 73-nucleotide transfer RNA is filed under the name Vazella pourtalesii. Its description in RNAcentral is "tRNA-Ser". Lineage: Eukaryota; Metazoa; Porifera; Hexactinellida; Lyssacinosida; Rossellidae. The record is from RNAcentral.
GAAAAGUUAGCUAACAUAGUAAGCAAAUGAUAUUCUAAAUCAUUAACAAUAAGUGCAAUUCUUCUACUUUUCG